GGGGGAAGGUAGCUUGCUACCGGACCUAGCGGCGGACGGGUGAGUAAUGCUUAGGAAUCUGCCUAUUAGUGGGGGACAACAUCUCGAAAGGGAUGCUAAUACCGCAUACGUCCUACGGGAGAAAGCAGGGGAUCUUCGGACCUUGCGCUAAUAGAUGAGCCUAAGUCGGAUUAGCUAGUUGGUGGGGUAAAGGCCUACCAAGGCGACGAUCUGUAGCGGGUCUGAGAGGAUGAUCCGCCACACUGGGACUGAGACACGGCCCAGACUCCUACGGGAGGCAGCAGUGGGGAAUAUUGGACAAUGGGGGGAACCCUGAUCCAGCCAUGCCGCGUGUGUGAAGAAGGCCUUAUGGUUGUAAAGCACUUUAAGCGAGGAGGAGGCUACUUUAGUUAAUACCUAGAGAUAGUGGACGUUACUCGCAGAAUAAGCACCGGCUAACUCUGUGCCAGCAGCCGCGGUAAUACAGAGGGUGCGAGCGUUAAUCGGAUUUACUGGGCGUAAAGCGUGCGUAGGCGGCUUAUUAAGUCGGAUGUGAAAUCCCCGAGCUUAACUUGGGAAUUGCAUUCGAUACUGGUGAGCUAGAGUAUGGGAGAGGAUGGUAGAAUUCCAGGUGUAGCGGUGAAAUGCGUAGAGAUCUGGAGGAAUACCGAUGGCGAAGGCAGCCAUCUGGCCUAAUACUGACGCUGAGGUACGAAAGCAUGCGGAGCAGACAGGAUUAGAUACCCUGGUAGUCCAUGCCGUACACGAUGUCUACUACCCGUUGCGGCCUUUGAGGCUUUAGUGGCGCAGCUAACGCGAUAAGUAUACCGCCUGGGGAGUGCGGUCGCAAGACUAAGACUCAGAUGAAUUGACAGUGGACCGGCA
This 864-nucleotide ribosomal RNA is filed under the name Acinetobacter baumannii. RNAcentral describes it as "bacterial SSU rRNA". It matches the Rfam family "Bacterial small subunit ribosomal RNA", at positions 68 to 927 of the family's 1533-position model. Lineage: Bacteria; Pseudomonadati; Pseudomonadota; Gammaproteobacteria; Moraxellales; Moraxellaceae. The record is from RNAcentral.